This 610-nucleotide ribosomal RNA is filed under the name uncultured bacterium. RNAcentral describes it as "bacterial SSU rRNA". It matches the Rfam family "Bacterial small subunit ribosomal RNA", at positions 10 to 620 of the family's 1533-position model. The record is from RNAcentral.
AGUUUGAUCCUGGCUCAGGAUGAACGCUGGCGGCGUGCCUAACACAUGCAAGUCGAGCGGAGAUAUAUGUCUAAGAGACUUCGGUCAAAUUAAUUAUAUCUUAGCGGCGGAUGGGUGAGGAACGCGUGGAGAACCUGCCCUUCACAGGGGGAUAACAGCUGGAAACGGCUGUUAAUACCGCAUAUGCUCACAGCACCGCAUGGUGCAGGGAGGAAAGCCGAGACGGUGAAGGAUGGCUCCGCGUCGGAUUAGCCGGUUGGCGGGGUAACGGCCCACCAAAGCGAUGAUCCGUAGCCGGCCUGAAAGGGCGACCGGCCACAUUGGGACUGAGACACGGCCCAAACUCCUACGGGAGGCAGCAGUGGGGGAUAUUGCACAAUGGGGGAAACCCUGAUGCAGCGACGCCGCGUGAAGGAAGACGUGCUCCGGCAUGUAAACUUCUAUCAGCAGGGAAGAAGAUGACGGUACCUGACUAAGAAGCCCCGGCUAACUACGUGCCAGCAGCCGCGGUAAUACGUAGGGGGCAAGCGUUAUCCGGAUUUACUGGGUGUAAAGGGAGCGUAGACGGCAAUGCAAGUCUGAUGUGAAAACCCGGGGCUCAACCGCGGGA